GCCAGGGGAUGUUUCCGUCGGACAUGUGCGAGAGUUGUGGCCGUUGUUUCCACACUGCGAGCAGCUGCGUGACAUCUUUCUUGCGACAGAAGCUGUUCAGAUGAUAGAUCGGGAGAGAGGGAGAGAAGAGAGAGGAACACAAAGGUAAAGAAGAGACAGAAGCUGUUCAGAUGAUUCUACUUUUUAUGUCUGUAUUAAGCUAACCAUUAAAACCUUGACCGUUCAGUGGUUUUAAUCUCAAAAAGAUUCUGUCUGUCC
Molecule: long non-coding RNA, 258 nt
Filed under: Brassica napus (rape)
Lineage: Eukaryota; Viridiplantae; Streptophyta; Magnoliopsida; Brassicales; Brassicaceae
Description: long non-coding RNA (BNAP_LNC011131)
Source: RNAcentral